ACAAUUCACAGCCCACCCGGCCCUUCAAGUGCUGGGACAAGAGCCUCUCGUGUGUCCAUGGCAAGGCCAGUCAUUUCAUUUCUCUCUCGCUCUGCACAUGUUGUUCCUCAGCGCACAUUCGCUUCCUGAUUAUGAGAGGACCCUGAAAACCACUAAGAGCUAUUUAAGUCCCCUUCAGAGAAAAUAGUCCAUAAGGAGAAAUUUGUUUAUAUUUGCUGGUAACUGCAUGAUAAUAUAAGAUAAUGACUUGUAAUAUUACACCAGCAUCACAAAAAAAAAAAAGGAAAAAGAGAGAUGUAAUGUUGUCUUCAAGUGGACUGAGAAAGAUUGCAAUUACAGUAUGAGCACAAGAACAUUAAUGACUAAGCAAAGUCAUACUUACGUGUAGGAAGCUUUGAGUUUUCAGAUGACUCAUGAGAAGACACGUCAUGACUUCAGAAAACAAGUCUGGGGUGAAUAUAAAAUAAUGGUUUUGCAAGUUAUUUUCAUUUUGCUCACUGUAUUUUCAUUAUUUUAAAGGUGUGACUCAAAAAAGUUUCCAUACGGCAAAAAAAAAAAAAAUGAAUCCGUCAUUAUCUGGCCUAAACCCAUUUAAAGCCUUGUGUUUUAGAAAUGUGACAAAGUAAAAGAGAAACAGAUGGUUUCUAAAAGCAAUAAGCCAUUUUACACAGUUACAACGGUUAGCUGUGAAAGUAUGUCCCCUUCUCAUUUACUCUGAUUUAAAUAUAGCCUUAUGUUGGCCUCUUUUUAAAAUUUUCAUUUUCCCUUUAUUCAGUUUUUAAAGCUUGAGUCACACCUCACACACUGUCCUCGUUGGUGUAAAUAUCUACUGAUUUACAUCAGUUUGAGCCAAAAUACCAAAUAGUUUGAUUCCAUGUGUGGCCUUUGACUUCAAACAAUAUAUUUUGCAUUUCCUCCUACUGUCAAAUUUCACUAUGGUGCGGGAGCGAGGAACGAGGAGUACAUCAACACAGGAGAUUUUAAUGUCUUUAAGGGAACCAGGAAAAACACACGUAGCAGGAGAGGUUGACAUCCACAGACAUUUACAAUACUGGACGACCAGCCUUAGAACAGGGCUCACUAUAAAAUACACAGGACUAAAGGAUCGGAUGAUGAGACACACCUGGAACUAAUGAAACAAACAUAAUUAGAACAGGAAGAGCCAAAUAAGGGCAUGGAAACACAUGGGGAGCAAAACACAGAAGUCUGACAUCACCCAUUACCAUAGGCCUGGAGGCUGGUGCAGGACUGGGACACGGGGAAUACUUCCAGUGCGGAUCAGGCAGUCCAGGAGGCCAUGGCAGAGCAUACAGUCCAGGAGGCCAUGGCGGAACAGGGAGCUUAGGGAGCCAUGGCAGAUCAGAGAGUUCAGCCACUCGCCCCGGGCACUACAGCUGGGAACUCAGGACGCCAUGGCCUUGGCCUCGCCACUCAGCCUGGCCACUACGGACAGACCCAUACUACCCAUCCCCCCCCAAGAAAAAAAUCCUUGGUGAGAGUAUCAUCUUUAGAGGCCCUCUGUAGGCCCAACUUGGGAUAAAUGGCCCUCCCUUGGCUUGACUUGGAGACUGGAGCCCUCCUUGGGCUCGACAUGGAAACUGCAGUCCUUUCUGUGCUACACUCGGGGACAGGGGCCCUCUCUGGGCUAAAUUCUGGGACAGGAGCCCUCUCUGGGCUAAACUCGGGGACAGGAGCCCUCCUUGGGCUGGAUUUGGGGGCUGGAGCCCACACUGGAGUGAGGCCUGGGGCUGGAGCCGACACUGGAGUGAGCUCUGGGGUUGGAGCCGACACUGGAGCGAGCUCUGGGGCAGCCGGCUGGCUUGCCUAUGGAGAGGCCGCCGGGCUUGCAGGCUUGAGAAUGCUUGAUAGAGGAACAGCCGGCAGAGGGGUUCCAGAUCAGAAUCAGAGGCUCUCCAGACACCGGAUGACCACCUCCUUCCAGUCGAGGCUGGUGGUGUCUGGGAGUUCCACAGGGCGAUGGUAUGUGAUCCCGAGCUGUAACAGCAUCACCAGAGUCUCCCAAUGAAGGGAGCUGGCGAGGGCAAGCGGCACGAAUGCCCUCCCGUAGGUGAUUGGGUCAUGGCUAGCCUGAGCCACGGCGAUGAACAUCGCUCAUUCCUCCAUUAUAGUGAGGAGAAACAAACAGGAAAACAAAACACUUUUAAAAAAUUAAAAACAAACACGGGGAGAAGGGCCGCUGCUUACUGUCAUGGUCCGGUAUUCUUUAAAAAAAAAAACACAGAUAGCAGGAGAGGUUGACACAUCCACAGACAUUCACA
Cyprinus carpio carpio is the source of this 2279-nucleotide long non-coding RNA. Lineage: Eukaryota; Metazoa; Chordata; Actinopteri; Cypriniformes; Cyprinidae. The record is from Ensembl.